UACGUAGGGUCCGAGCGUUGUCCGGAUUUAUUGGGCGUAAAGAGCUCGUAGGCGGUUCCGUAAGUCAGAUGUGAAAACUCAGGGCUCAACCCGGAGACGCCAUCUGAUACUGCGGUGACUGGAGUCUGGUAGGGGAACACGGAAUUCCUGGUGUAGCGGUGAAAUGCGCAGAUAUCAGGAGGAACACCGAUGGCGAAGGCAGUGUUCUGGGCCAGUACUGACGCUGAGGAGCGAAAGCGUGGGGAGCAAAAGGG
RNAcentral lists this ribosomal RNA (254 nucleotides) under uncultured bacterium. RNAcentral describes it as "partial 16S ribosomal RNA". It matches the Rfam family "Bacterial small subunit ribosomal RNA", at positions 524 to 776 of the family's 1533-position model. The record is from RNAcentral.